UUGCUUUUCUUUUUUAUUAAAAGGGCUAUUUCUUUCUUUUUUUUGGCGAGACAAGCUUUUUAUGUUUGAAAUAUAUGUGGAUGGUUUCUUUGAUUUGGGUUUUGUUCGAUAUUUAUGAAUCCUGUUCUAAUUUUAGCUUUUUGUUCUUUUUUUUUUUCUUUCCUUCAUGUCUGGCCCCAAUUCCUCUUACUUGUUUGCAUCAAAUGGAUUAAUUUACUUUUGAUUCUACUCUAGAUAUGUGAUUUUCUGUUUUGGGAAAUGGCCUAAGGCCAGAAUUUAUCCCUCUGUUGUGAGUUUUUGUUUUCAUUUGUGCUUGACAGUACUGCAAAAGCUCUUACCUUCUUGUUCAAAUCCAAUGAAUAUUGCUGUUUGGUUGGCAUUUGGCAAUCCGCAGAGAGGAUUGAUCCGGUGCUAGUAUUGUUUCCUUCUAUAAAUGUGAUUGGGUUAUGAUGGAAGAGAAAUAAGUCAAGCUCUGUGGUCAGUGGUGCCUUUAUGAUCAAACAGACUAUGAAGUGGGAACUGGGAACCAUGUCACCCUAUAGGCUGUGAUGGAGUUGCUAAAAUAUGUUUGCCUGUUUGUUUUUAGUUUGGACACUACAGUUCACAUCAUGUUUUUGGGAGUGUUAUACCUCUUAAGCUUUGGAAGAGUGGUUGAUAGCAUAUGGAAAUCUUACAUGGUCAGAUGCUACUUUGGCAAUGCUCACAAGUGGCUCAAGAAAAGGGUUGUGAGCGUAACCUGAUCUGUCUUGUAAACUUGACAUGACUGAUGACUCCCCAUAUGGUGCCCGUAUAUUCUUUUCCUUCCACUUGCAGUCAUGCCCUAUUUUGAUGGGCAUGCCCCAAAUUAUUCACUAUUUAUGGAAUCAAUAAAAUACAAAUUGCCUU
This is a long non-coding RNA of Vitis riparia (riverbank grape), 885 nucleotides long. RefSeq lists it as uncharacterized. The record is from RefSeq and is a predicted model, not a curated record. NCBI's taxonomy places the organism in Eukaryota, Viridiplantae, Streptophyta, Magnoliopsida, Vitales, Vitaceae. The transcript is spliced from 2 exons.